RNAcentral lists this ribosomal RNA (253 nucleotides) under uncultured bacterium. Its description in RNAcentral is "partial 16S ribosomal RNA". It matches the Rfam family "Bacterial small subunit ribosomal RNA", at positions 524 to 776 of the family's 1533-position model. The record is from RNAcentral.
UACGUAGGGUGCAAGCGUUGUCCGGAAUUAUUGGGCGUAAAGAGCUCGUAGGCGGUCUGUCGCGUCGGCUGUGAAAACCCGGGGCUCAACCCCGGGCCUGCAGUCGAUACGGGCAGACUAGAGUGCGGUAGGGGAGACUGGAAUUCCUGGUGUAGCGGUGAAAUGCGCAGAUAUCAGGAGGAACAUCGGUGGCGAAGGCGGGUCUCUGGGCCGUAACUGACGCUGAGGAGCGAAAGCGUGGGGAGCGAACAGG